This 253-nucleotide ribosomal RNA is filed under the name uncultured bacterium. Its description in RNAcentral is "partial 16S ribosomal RNA". It matches the Rfam family "Bacterial small subunit ribosomal RNA", at positions 524 to 776 of the family's 1533-position model. The record is from RNAcentral.
UACGGAGGGUGCAAGCAUUAAUCGGAAUUAUUGGGCGUAAAGGGCGCGUAGGCGGUGAGGUUAGUCAGGUGUGAAAUCCCGGAGCUCAACUCCGGAACAGCACUUGAAACUGCCCCACUAGAGGAUAGGCGGAGAAAACGGAAUUCCACAAGUAGCGGUGAAAUGCGUAGAUAUGUGGAAGAACACCUGUGGCGAAAGCGGUUUUCUAGCUUAUUCCUGACGCUGAGGCGCGAAAGCAAGGGGAGCAAACAGG